UAAAACAAGAAUAACAAAUUCAAAUUCAAACAUUGCUGCAUUCUUCUGUCACUGACAAUUCCAAACCUGCACUCAGUCUCCUCAUUACACUGGUACUGAACAGACACAACAUUGGAGUCUUUGCAAACUUUGUUCAAAAACUACAACUAUUUGACACAAAACUGCAACAGCAAGCACAGAAACUUCAAACAAAUCACUGAAAGAAACCAAAUCCUGCGUGGAUCUUUCUCCUGACAGACGCCUAAAAUGGCUCCUCGAGCUGUGGAAAAUCCACAUCUUAAGAGGUUUAACUCACAAAGCAGCUCAGAUGUCAGCAGUGACAG
This is a non-coding RNA of Neolamprologus brichardi, 323 nucleotides long. Lineage: Eukaryota; Metazoa; Chordata; Actinopteri; Cichliformes; Cichlidae. The record is from RefSeq and is a predicted model, not a curated record.